Molecule: long non-coding RNA, 809 nt
Filed under: Anas platyrhynchos platyrhynchos (common mallard)
Lineage: Eukaryota; Metazoa; Chordata; Aves; Anseriformes; Anatidae
Description: lncRNA (ENSAPLG00000028479.1)
Source: RNAcentral
ACCCCCCAGGCCCCUAAUUUGCAUAUGCAAAUGAGCCCCGGGGGCCGGGGCCGCUCACCCGGCGCCGCCGCCGCUCUCCGCAGCGACCCGGAAGUGAACCCGGGGCCGACUUCCGGUUUCCGCUGAGAGAGGGCGGAAGUGACGCCAACUCCGGGCGGAAGUGCCUCCCGGAACGGCGUCGCGGUGCUGGCAGCUCUUAAAGGCGCCGCGUCCCGAAUUUUUAGCCCCGCCCCCUCCCCCUGAGACCCCCCCCAAACCCCUCAAAAACGCCGAAAUCGCCCCAAAAAUCCCCCCUCCCCCCCCCCAACCCCUAAGAAAAAGGCGGGUUCCUCGUGGGCCGUUUUUGGCUGUUUUUCACCCAAAAAAGAACCCGGGGGGGGAGAGGGGGGAGGGGGCGGGGUCAGGGGAGGGGGCGGAGUCUGUUAAAUAAGCGGGGGCGGGGCCAGGCGGCUGUCAAUCAAAUGGGGCUGUCAAUCAAACGGGGCUGUCAAUCAAAAUGGAGCUGUCAAUCAAAUGGAGCUGUCAAUCAAAUUGAGCUGUCAAUCAAACCUAUUCAUCAAAUUGAGCUGUCAAUCAAAGGGAUAUCAAUCAAAUUGAGCUGUCAAUCAAAGAGCUAUCAAUCAAACGGAGCUGUCAAUCAAUUCUAUCCUUCAAAUUGAGCUGUCAAUCAAACACACGGCAUCAAAUUGAUCUGUCAAUCAAGCAGCCAUCACUCCAAUGGGGCUGUCAAUCAAUCCUAUCCAUCAAAUCGAGCUGUCAAUCAAAGCUAUUCAUCAAAUUAUGCUGUCAAUCAAAGGGAUAUCAAUCAA